CGAGAACUGCGUGUGUGUGUUUCUUCAACCUUCUCCCGUUACUUCCCCUUUUUAAGUUUUACAUAAUAAACCAACACUUUUAUCUGUUCCCAAGAAAGUGGUGGCUGAAAUAUGUGCAAGGACAGUGAAGAAACCCUCUCAGAUGACUGUCCUUUGGAGGAAUUACUUGUAAGUGCACAAAUAACUUUAUUUAAUUUAUAGGUGUGGACACAUUAUUUCUGACUGC
Triplophysa dalaica is the source of this 226-nucleotide long non-coding RNA. RefSeq lists it as uncharacterized. The record is from RefSeq and is a predicted model, not a curated record. The transcript has 3 exons. NCBI's taxonomy places the organism in Eukaryota, Metazoa, Chordata, Actinopteri, Cypriniformes, Nemacheilidae.